UGUUAAAAAUUUCUAUCCAUUCUAUUGUUAAAAACUUGCGUAGUUGAUAGAAUCACUUGAUGCCAUGUAUACCUUAUUUUGACAUACAAAAAUCAGUUUUUAACCAUAAAAAUGAAAGAAUUUUUUAACA
This 130-nucleotide microRNA precursor is filed under the name Gossypium arboreum. Its description in RNAcentral is "MIR7502 microRNA precursor family". It matches the Rfam family "MIR7502 microRNA precursor family". The record is from Rfam by way of RNAcentral. Lineage: Eukaryota; Viridiplantae; Streptophyta; Magnoliopsida; Malvales; Malvaceae.